This is a long non-coding RNA of Eriocheir sinensis (Chinese mitten crab), 955 nucleotides long. RefSeq lists it as uncharacterized. NCBI's taxonomy places the organism in Eukaryota, Metazoa, Arthropoda, Malacostraca, Decapoda, Varunidae. The record is from RefSeq and is a predicted model, not a curated record. The transcript is spliced from 4 exons.
GGUGAGGGGGAGCCAGAAAACCUCUCCACCGCGCAAGUAGAUGAUGACGUCACCGAAAAUAUCGAGAGCAGGGUUCUGCGGGUCGAGAACUGUCAGUCACUCAAACACCAGUGUGUAGAGCGAAGCUCCGUUUUCUGAUUAAAGGGGUAGCUAAGGCAGACAAAUAACAUAAAGAUGCCAACAGUUUGUAUAGUGCAGAAGUGCAAUGCCGCAAGACUGAAAGGUGAUAAAAAUAUUCAUUUCUUUUCACUACCCAAAGAAAAAGAUCUUAGAAAGAAAUGGAUUGAAUUAUGUGGCACACACAAUAAUCGGUCAUCUGGAUACGUAUGCAGCCGUCAUUUUGAAAGUAAUGCAUUUGAAAGAAACUUGAAAUAUGAGUUGUUUUGUUUGCCAGUGCCCCCAAGUCAAAUUAAGUUCAAGAAAGGAGCAGUGCCUACACUUGGACUACCCACAUUAACAACUUGUGAGCCACACCCUCCACAGGAAGAACCAGAGCAUCACAUCCAAGAUGCUUUGACUGCACACACUGCUGGAGCUUCAAGUCAACUUAUGACAUGUGAGACAGUCAUUGAGGUUCACCCUCAGCCACACCCUCCACAGGAAGAACUCCUACUAGAGCAUCACAUCCAAGAUGCUUUGACUGCACACACCGCUGGACCUUCAAGUCAACCUAAGACUCCACCUGAAGAAGUUGGUGAAGUGUAUCCAAGGCCACUCCUCCCACAGGAAGAACACCACUAUCAAGAAACAUGUACAUCACCUGAACCCAAAAAUAAGAAGAUGCUGCAGUUCAUUAAACGCAUGUCAUUCUACAACAAAGAUCUUCACAAAAGACUGACAAAAGUUACCAAAGAGAGAAAUUAUUAUCGUGAAGAAAUCAAGAAGUAUCAGGAAAUUAUUAAUAAAUUACGGAAUGAAUUGGAUAAUGUCAGAGUUGAAUGCCAGGAAAAUGUUU